ACCCCGUCCUCGUCCCCGGGUCCCGUCACUCCGAGAACACCCCGCCCCCCGUCCUCGGCUCCCGUUACCCCAAGAUGACCCCUCCCCGCCCCCCUCCUCUGGUCCUGUCACCCAGAGAAGACCUCUCCCCGCCCCCCAUCCGCGGGUCCUGGCACCCGAGGAGACCCCGGCCUUGUCCCUGGGCUCCCGUCACCCUGGAGCGACCGGGUCCUCGUUCCCGGGUCCCGUCACCCCAAGGAGAUCCUGUCCCCAUCCCAGGCGUCCCAUCACCCUGGGAGACCCCAUCCCUGGAGUCUCGUCCCCCCAUCCCUGGGGCCCUGUCACCCCGGGGAGAUCCCGUCUCCCCUCCCCUGGUCCCUGAGGUCCCGUCACCCAAGGGAGACCCCGCCCACCACCUCUGGGAUGCCAUAACCCUGAAGAGACCACAUCCCUGGGGUCCCGACACCCCAAAAAGGCUGGGUGCAGUCCCCGAAGCCGCUCAGCCCGAGGUGGGACACGUGCCACGGCCCGGGCACCUGGGAGGGAGGAGCAGCCGAGGGCAGUGUCCGGGUGGAGAGAGGACUCAGGUGGUUGCACCGCUGCGUGUCCUGCGGGAAACCUCUCCGGAGGAGCAGGCCCAGACAGCAGGUGCAGAGCAGAUGGAGCCCGCCCCAUGCCGGCUUCAAGAAGCCCCCAUACUCUCUGUCCCUGAAAAGAAUACGUACUGA
RNAcentral lists this long non-coding RNA (707 nucleotides) under Canis lupus familiaris (dog). RNAcentral's name for it is "lncRNA (ENSCAFG00030002146.1)". The record is from RNAcentral. Lineage: Eukaryota; Metazoa; Chordata; Mammalia; Carnivora; Canidae.